ACUCCUACGGGAGGCAUCAGUGGGGAAUAUUGGACAAUGGGCGAAAGCCUGAUCCAGCAAUGCCGCGUGAGUGAUGAAGGCCUUAGGGUUGUAAAGCUCUUUUACCAGGGAUGAUAAUGACAGUACCUGGAGAAUAAGCUCCGGCUAACUCCGUGCCAGCAGCCGCGGUAAUAC
Molecule: ribosomal RNA, 174 nt
Filed under: uncultured bacterium
Lineage: Bacteria
Description: partial 16S ribosomal RNA
Rfam family: Bacterial small subunit ribosomal RNA
Source: RNAcentral